GCCCAGGUGGCGGAAUGGUAGACGCGGCAGACUUAAAAUCUGCUGUCCGAGAGGGCGUACAGGUUCAAGUCCUGUCCUGGGCACCA
This 86-nucleotide transfer RNA is filed under the name Chloroflexota bacterium. Its description in RNAcentral is "Chloroflexi bacterium tRNA-Leu". It matches the Rfam family "tRNA". From Rfam's summary of the family: Transfer RNA (tRNA) molecules are approximately 80 nucleotides in length. Their secondary structure includes four short double-helical elements and three loops (D, anti-codon, and T loops). Lineage: Bacteria; Bacillati; Chloroflexota. RNAcentral also lists the same sequence under 1 other name. The record is from RNAcentral.